CAUUCUUCUUCUUCUUUUUUUUUUAGUACUGGGAAUUGAACUCAGGGCUUUGAGGUUAUAAGGUAAGCUCUCUACCACUUGAGCCAUGCCCCCAGCCCUUUUUGCUUUUUAGUUUUUCAGAUAGAGCCUCAACUUUUGCCUAGCUGGUCUGAUACCACAAUCCUCCUGUCUGUGCCUCCCAAGUAGCUGGGACUACAGGCAUGUGCCACCACAUUCAGCUUGGUUUUUAUUGUUGUUGUUGAGAUGGGGGUCUUGCUAACUUUUGCCCAGGCUGAUCCUGAACCUCCAUCCUCUUGUCUGCACCUCUUGAGUAGCUGGGAUUACAGGCUCGAGUCACUGUACCCAGCAAAAUCACACUCUUAGUCUGAGGGACUCAGACUGGGGUCUGUGCAUUAAGCCAGCUAUAGGAACUCAUCUCUGAAAGGAAAAGGGGCGACAACCCAAUCUUCCAACUUCCCCCAGAGCCUGAAGUGGAGAUGGACUUUCGAGAAGCCUAUGAAGUCCAGAUUCUGACAAGUUCUCAGCUAUCAUUUGGGAACCAAAGAAAAAGAAAAAGAAAAAAAAGCUUGGAAAAAAGGCAGCUGUUGGCCUGUCUUGUUUUUGUCCACAGGCUGCCCUGUUGGGUUUCUUCCACAUUGUCUAACUAAGCUAGCUAAAUCAUUGUAAGGCAGACAUGGAAGCAGUGAUCUACAGUGCCAUAAAGCCAUGCCAGGUCUUGGUGACAGUAAAACUAACUACAGAGAAAUGCCAAGAGUUUAGAAAUUAGAUCCAAGAAAACAGCUGUAUCAUCUUUUCAUCCCACUUUCACCCAAAUCCAAGUAAGUUUCCAGCUGCUUAAAUAGUCUAUCAAUUAGACUGCUAAAGUCAGGAAAGGAAAGUCCCAAACUGGCUGCUCUCUACACACCAAGCCCAUUCUAAGCACUUGAUAUGCAUCAUCUUGUUCAAUUUCUGUAAGAUUCCCAUUCUACAGACAAGGAAACUGAGGCACAGCAACUAUGUCACUUGCCCGGAAUCCAAGCUAACCAUGUCUCUGAGCUGCCCUUCCACCUGAUGUGUGACCUUGAGGAAGUAUCUGAUGUUCCUGAAGCCACACUUCCGCUUUUGCAAAAAUAGGCAUAACAUCUCAUGCUUCACAGAAUUUCAGAUUGGGUGAAAGAAAAAUAUUUCCUUAAAUGUGUCACAUUAUCAGAAAGAAGCACCCAGUAAAGAUUAGAUUCCCCCCCACCUUUUUUUUUUUUUGGUGGGACGAGGUCCUCACUGUGUUGCCCAAGCUGCCCUUGAACUCCUGGGCUCAGGUAAUGCUCCUGCUUCAACUUCCUGGAUAACUGAUGCUAUAGGCACAUGACUGUUCACAGCAGGCUCUCCUCACCUUUGAUCAGAGCAAAAAAAGGCCAGAAAUUUCUUGGUUGUUAAACAGGUGAUCAUUUCCCCAAAUUGGCUAAUAUUAAGCCUUGGCUUCUAAUCCUGCCAUUGGUGACGCUCAUGAAACUAGAAAUGGGACAGCAAGUGGGGGUUCAGGAGAGCAAAGGCAACUAUGUCUACUGAAGGUGGUUGCAGAAAGGUGGCACACGCCUUCCACUGCAUGAGGAGUGUCCCUUUCUAGAUAGUGGACUUGACCUCUCUGCUAAGCCUAACCACACUUUGGCU
Long non-coding RNA from Castor canadensis (American beaver), 1647 nucleotides. Lineage: Eukaryota; Metazoa; Chordata; Mammalia; Rodentia; Castoridae. The record is from Ensembl.